UCGAUUCCGGAAUCUCAGUACUUGUGAACUCAAUAGUUCUUGGACCGCGGGUGUAUGCGGCGAUGUUCCUCUCCCACCGGAAGAACUUUGAGGAUUAUGACUAAGCAAGAACAAAGAGCGCUAGGGUGUACGCGGCAUGUUCCUCUCCCUAUCGGGGGUCUUGGCUAUGGGUGUACGCGGCUAUGUUUCCUCUCCCACUGGC
This 202-nucleotide long non-coding RNA is filed under the name Ananas comosus (pineapple). RNAcentral describes it as "long non-coding RNA (ACOM_LNC036053)". The record is from RNAcentral. Lineage: Eukaryota; Viridiplantae; Streptophyta; Magnoliopsida; Poales; Bromeliaceae.